RNAcentral lists this ribosomal RNA (368 nucleotides) under uncultured bacterium. Its description in RNAcentral is "bacterial SSU rRNA". It matches the Rfam family "Bacterial small subunit ribosomal RNA", at positions 29 to 419 of the family's 1533-position model. The record is from RNAcentral.
AACGAACGCUGGCGGCAGGCUUAACACAUGCAAGUCGAACGCUUGGGAGCGAUCCCUUGAGUGGCAGACGGGUGAGUAACGCGUGGGAACAUACCCUUCGGUACGGAACAACUUGGGGAAACUCGAGCUAAUACCGUAUGCGGCCUAUGGGCGAAAGAUUGUAUCGCCGAAGGAUUGGCCCGCGUCCGAUUAGCUAGUUGGUGGGGUAACGGCCCACCAAGGCGACGAUCGGUAGCUGGUCUGAGAGGAUGGCCAGCCACAUUGGGACUGAGACACGGCCCAAACUCCUACGGGAGGCAGCAGUGGGGAAUAUUGGACAAUGGGCGCAAGCCUGAUCCAGCCAUGCCGCGUGAGGGAUGACGGCCUGG